This 474-nucleotide long non-coding RNA is filed under the name Coturnix japonica (Japanese quail). Its description in RNAcentral is "lncRNA (ENSCJPG00005015521.1)". The record is from RNAcentral. Lineage: Eukaryota; Metazoa; Chordata; Aves; Galliformes; Phasianidae.
AUUUGAUUCUUCCUUAGAAAAGGGACUACAAGCUCUACUGUGAAAGAAUGAUCAAUCUAAAAGGCUAUAAGUGAGUUAUAGAACCACUUGUUGUCAAGUUUAAUUACAGGCAGAAAGAAGUGUAUGUGAUGGUAAAGUCACAUAUAAAAGAUAAGACAUGGACACUUUGGAAGGUUCUUUCCAAGAGAGGGCCUAUGUUGCUGCCACUACCAUCCAGUGAAAGGCUGAGCUGUGACUCCUACACAUCACUUUCCUCCUCCUAGUCAUUCUCAGCAAGAUGAACCUCUGGUGAAGUAUGCUGAAGUUUACCUGAAGAAGACUUGAGCUGAAUUUUUCUACCUGACCCUACUGUCCUAAUAAGGGCUUCUCCAGAGUCCUGUAAUAUCCUGGGAAUUUUGUUGAUGGCUGAAAGAUUAUAAACUGUCUUUCCUAAGUUUUAUAUUGUAAUAAAAAUUUUAUAUUGUCAGUGACUCA